AUUGAACGCUGGCGGCAGGCCUAACACAUGCAAGUCGAGCGAGCGGCGGACGGGUGAGUAAUGUCUGGGGAUCUGCCCGAUAGAGGGGGAUAACUACUGGAAACGGUGGCUAAUACCGCCUACUAUCGGAUGAAUCCAUAUUGGAUUAGCUAGUAGGUGGGGUAAAGGCUCACCGAGGCGACGAUCUCUAGCUGGUCUGAGAGGAUGAUCCGCAACACUGGAACGGGGACACGGUCCAGACUCCUACGGGAGGCAGCAGUGGGGAAUAUUGGACAAUGGGCGGAAGCCUGACCCAGCCAUGCCGCGUGUGUGAAGAAGGGCUGCGGAUUGUAAAGCACUUUAAGUUGGGAGGCGUUACCAACAGAAUAAGCACCGGCUAACUCCGUGCCAGCAGCCGCGGUAAUUC
This 406-nucleotide ribosomal RNA is filed under the name uncultured bacterium. Its description in RNAcentral is "partial 16S ribosomal RNA". It matches the Rfam family "Bacterial small subunit ribosomal RNA", at positions 30 to 526 of the family's 1533-position model. The record is from RNAcentral.